This 409-nucleotide long non-coding RNA is filed under the name Mytilus galloprovincialis (Mediterranean mussel). Lineage: Eukaryota; Metazoa; Mollusca; Bivalvia; Mytilida; Mytilidae. The record is from RNAcentral.
CUGGUUAUAGAUUUUUUUUAUAACUUUCAUUAUUGUGACGACGCGCUAUGAAAUUCAGAUUAAUUUAUAAAUGAAGUUGUAUAUAAAUUUUUGGCCAUAAACAUAAAUCUUUUAAACAGUUCGACGAAUGCGUCAAUGUUACAGUAGUCUGUUUACUGUAAGUUACUAAGCUUGGCCCGAUUCAUCUGUCAUUUAUGGAAACUAAUUCACCACUUUCUGAGACAUUCAUUUGUAUUUCACCAUCAGACAUGGAGCUACAUUUGUAACUAAAGGAAAACUCUCAAAUUAAAGAAAUUUGACAUGAUAUACUGAAACUUUCUUAUAAUCAAUUAAACGACUGCUUUUCUUAGAUAUGUGAUUUUUCAUGGUCAAACUUUUUCAUUGUUAACGGACAUUUUGAGAUUUUUUA